GAUGAACGCUGGCGGCGUGCUUAACACAUGCAAGUCGAACGAUGAAGCCCAGCUUGCUGGGUGCAUUAGUGGCGAACGGGUGAGUAACACGUGAGUAACCUGCCCUUGACUCUGGGAUAAGCCUGGGAAACUGGGUCUAAUACUGGAUAUGACUUCUCAUCGCUUGGUGGGGGGUGGAGAGAUUUAUUGGUCUUGUAUGGACUCGCGGCCUAUCCGCUUGUUGGUGAGGUAAUGGCUAACCAAGGCGACGACGGGUAGCGGGCCUGAGAGGGUGACCGGCCAAACUGGGACUGAGACACGGCCCAGACUCCUACGGGAGGAAGAGGUGGGGAAUAUUGAAAAAGGGGGGAAAGCCUGAUGCAGCGACGCGGCGUGAGGGAUAACGGCCUUCGGGUUUUAAACCUCUUUCAGUAGGGAAGAAGCGAGAGUGACGGUACCUGCAUAAGAAGCGCCGGCUAACUACGUG
Molecule: ribosomal RNA, 466 nt
Filed under: uncultured bacterium
Lineage: Bacteria
Description: partial 16S ribosomal RNA
Rfam family: Bacterial small subunit ribosomal RNA
Source: RNAcentral